Molecule: ribosomal RNA, 440 nt
Filed under: uncultured bacterium
Lineage: Bacteria
Description: partial 16S ribosomal RNA
Rfam family: Bacterial small subunit ribosomal RNA
Source: RNAcentral
CCUACGGGUGGCAGCAGUAGGGAAUAUUGCUCAAUGGGCGAAAGUCUGAAGCAGCAACGCCGCGUGGAGGAUGAAGGCUUUCGGAUUGUAAACCCCUUUUGUUAGAGAAGAAAAUGACGGUAUGUAACGAAUAAGCACCGGCUAACUCCGGUCCAGCAGCCGCGGUAAUACGGAGGGUGCAAGCGUUACUCGGAAUGACUGGGCGUAAAGAGGGCGUAGGCGGGAUAGCAAGUCAGAUGUGAAAUCCUAGGGCUUAACCAUAGAACUGCAUGUGAAACUGUUAUUCUAGAGUAUGGGAGAGGAAGGUGGAAUUCUUGGUGUAGCGGUGAAAGGCGUAGAGAUCAAGAGGAAUACUGAUUGCGAAGGCGACCUGCUAGAACAUAACUGACGCUGAGGCGCGAAAGCGUGGGGAGCAAACAGGAUUAGAUACCCGGGUAGUC